CGCGGGUGCACCGCCGACCGA
Molecule: small nuclear RNA, 21 nt
Filed under: Arabidopsis thaliana (thale cress)
Lineage: Eukaryota; Viridiplantae; Streptophyta; Magnoliopsida; Brassicales; Brassicaceae
Description: snRNA_14219
Source: RNAcentral